AAAGAGAUUAAGAAAUAAUAAGAAUUACAAACCGAUUUGUACAAAUUCCUACAAAUUACACAUACUAAGAGGGAGAAGAUAGAUUAAUGUCAAAUGUGACAAGGUCCAUUAAAAACAGUAAUUAAAACACAUUCCCAAGGUUCAAACAAUUUGAUUUUAGCGCCUUAUCUCAUAGCUCAAUUAUCGUUUAAGGCAUAAGUCCAUAGUCAUCCUUUUCUAACUACUUAAUCACAUUAAAUAAUCAAAAUGGAAUGCAACAUGAACAUUUAGAUUUAGUGCAUAUGGGCAUAAUAGAAUUAUGAGUUUAAGCAACUAACAAAAUUAAAAUCAAUUAUUUUAACUUUCUAGUUAGUAGGGGCCUAAAUGAAAAUAAGAAAAAGUUAGGGGUCAAACCGUAAAUACUCAAAAGUAUAAAAUAUCUUUUUCCAAAUUACAAAAGACCCCCCAAGUGGAUAAAUCCACUAGGGUGGCCGGCCACAUUAAUGGGAAGUCUCACCCAUCUUGCUUUAAUUCAAUGCAAGGUAGAAAAAUCCAAAUUUGCAUGUCACUUGGUUUUGGUUUAAAUGAUUUUAAUGAAAAAGGUGAUGGAAAUCUCCUAGACAAGUCUAGGGUUUUAUAAGUUUUAAUAUGGUUAUGGAUGGUAAGAACAUCAUCCAAAACCAUAAAACUAUGCAUGAAAACCAAAUAAAACCAUUUUCACCCAAAACCAAACUAUGAACACCAAGAACAAAACCAUGAACACUUUUUCAAGAUUUGUGUAUUCUUGGUGAUUUUUCAAACCCAAAAACUAAAGUGACAAGGUUUCUACUUUCUAGCUUUAAAAUGAUGUGUGAGUGUCUUACAAUAAAACACAAACACAUGCCCAAAAAACCCCAAAACCGUGCCAACCAUAAAGAACAAAACCCCAAAAUUUUGUUCAUGACUUAUUCUUCAUUUAUGCAUACAAAACAACUUUUACAUGCAUAUCUUUUCAACUCUUGAUUUAUAUUUUUCAACCAUUGAAAAACAAAAGAUAAACAUACUUUAAAUGAAGAAAUAAUAUCUCAAACUAGUUCAAAACUCAAUUUUCAUUCAUGCAUACAAAACAUCUUUUUUGCAUACAUAUCUUUCUCAACUAUUGACUAACAUUUUUCAACUAUUGAAAAACAAAAGAUAAACUUAUUUUGAAUGAACCAAUAAUUAUGUCAUACAUAAUAUUAAUACCCAUAUGCAUAAAAUCCAAAAGGACACAUUAUACAUAAACCUUUGGCUCUGAUACCACUUGAAGGGAAAAUUAUGAGAUUAACACAUGGGAUUUCUAAAUGACUAGCAUGCAUAUACAAUUCAAAAUUUAUAUACAUGAGCAACGGAAGCAAUUUAUCAAUAAUAUCAAAGCUAUAGUCAUGCAAAUCCCCUUCAAGGUUCAUAGGUUUAUAUAUAAUGCAUCAAAACAUUUUAUAAAAGAACAAAGUGAAAGUUUAGUCUUAUACCUCUUGAUCUAGACUUGAGACCAAGGAUGGACCACCUCCAAGCCCUUUGUUCCUUGAAGUCCUUGAGCCUAGCCUCCCUCCUUGCCUCCUCCACUUUGUUAGUAAGAGUGCUCCAAGGUUCUCCUUUAGUCUCUAAAGGAGAAGACCUCUAAAGAUCCACACCCACUAGUGUAGUGAGAUGGAUGGAGGAAUAACCAAAAGGGUGAAAGAUUGUUAGCUAAAGCACCCUCUAGGUGGCCGGCCUUUGUGGUUUUAGAGAGCUAUUUUCUUUUGCCUCUUUGUUGUUCAAAAAAACACACAAAAAACCCUAAUGAACUUUGUGCUAUAAAGUUCCUUAUAUAGACAAAAAGAAACCUAGUCAACAACUUGACUAAAUAUCUCUCCCAAACCCUUUAAGUGGCCGGCCCUUUAGUGUUUGGUUUGGGCUUUGGGCUUUUAUUAUUUCAAGUCAUCCUAUGCUUGAAUAAAAGCCCAAUGGGUUUAGGCCCAAUGGGCCUAAUUAAACCCGAACGUUUCUUUAAGCCCAAAACGAUCUUUUAUCGCUUUUAUGAUUUCUUUAGACUUUCUAAAUUAAUCACAACACUUAAUUAAUCCAAUUAAUUAUUUCCAUCAUCCAUUAAUUACUCACUACAAGAGUGUAUCGGUGUACAAUCAUUUUAGGUUUUAAUUAGCAAGGUAGUGAGGUGAUUGACAUCAAUCCAAUUGAUUAUAUUUAAUCCAAUCACUUAGUGAAUUAAAA
This 2208-nucleotide long non-coding RNA is filed under the name Malus domestica (apple). RNAcentral describes it as "long non-coding RNA (MDOM_LNC010497)". The record is from RNAcentral. Lineage: Eukaryota; Viridiplantae; Streptophyta; Magnoliopsida; Rosales; Rosaceae.